This 1382-nucleotide ribosomal RNA is filed under the name uncultured bacterium. RNAcentral's name for it is "bacterial SSU rRNA". It matches the Rfam family "Bacterial small subunit ribosomal RNA", at positions 29 to 1402 of the family's 1533-position model. The record is from RNAcentral.
UUGAACGCUGGCGGUAUGCUUAACACAUGCAAGUCGAACGGAAACGAUACUAGCUUGCUAGUAGGCGUCGAGUGGCGGACGGGUGAGUAACGCGUAGGAAUCUGCCUGAUAGUGGGGGAUAGCCCGAAGAAAUUCGGAUUAAUACCGCAUAAUCUAUUCGUAGUAAAGUGGGGGACUUUCGAGCCUCACGCUAUCAGAUGAGCCUGCGUAAGAUUAGCUUGUUGGUAGGGUAAAAGCCUACCAAGGCGACGAUCUUUAGCUGGUCUGAGAGGAUGAUCAGCCACAUCGGGACUGAGACACGGCCCGAACUCCUACGGGAGGCAGCAGUGGGGAAUAUUGGACAAUGGGGGCAACCCUGAUCCAGCAAUACCGCGUGUGUGAAGAAGGCCUGAGGGUUGUAAAGCACUUUCAAUUGUGAAGAAAAGUUAGCGGUUAAUAACCGUUAGCCUUGACGUUAACUUUAGAAGAAGCACCGGCUAACUCCGUGCCAGCAGCCGCGGUAAUACGGAGGGUGCAAGCGUUAAUCGGAAUUACUGGGCGUAAAGCGUGCGUAGGCGGUUUAUUAAGUCAGAUGUGAAAGCCCCGGGCUUAACCUGGGAACUGCAUUUGAAACUGGUCAACUAGAGUAUGGUAGAGGAAAGUGGAAUUUCUGGUGUAGCGGUGAAAUGCGUAGAUAUCAGAAGGAACAUCAAUGGCGAAGGCAGCUUUCUGGACCAAUACUGACGCUGAGGUACGAAAGCGUGGGUAGCAAACAGGAUUAGAUACCCUGGUAGUCCACGCCGUAAACGAUGAUAACUAGCCGUUGGGGGGAUUUACCCUUUAGUGGCGAAGCUAACGCGUUAAGUUAUCCGCCUGGGGAGUACGGCCGCAAGGUUAAAACUCAAAGGAAUUGACGGGGACCCGCACAAGCGGUGGAGCAUGUGGUUUAAUUCGAUGCAACGCGAAGAACCUUACCUGGUCUUGACAUCCUGCGAACUUUCUAGAAAUAGAUUGGUGCCUUCGGGAACGCAGUGACAGGUGCUGCAUGGCUGUCGUCAGCUCGUGUCGUGAGAUGUUGGGUUAAGUCCCGUAACGAGCGCAACCCCUAUCCUUAUUUGCCAGCACAUUAUGGUGGGAACUAUAAGGAGACUGCCGGUGAUAAACCGGAGGAAGGCGGGGACGACGUCAAGUCAUCAUGGCCCUUACGACCAGGGCUACACACGUGCUACAAUGGGAAGGACAAAGAGCCGCGAAGCCGCGAGGUGUAGCUAAUCUCAUAAACCUUUUCGUAGUCCGGAUUGGAGUCUGCAACUCGACUCCAUGAAGUCGGAAUCGCUAGUAAUCGUAGAUCAGAAUGCUACGGUGAAUACGUUCCCGGGUCUUGUACACACCGCCCGUCAAGG